UUUAUUAUUGUAAUAAUAAUAAUGACAACAAUAAAUAAGGGUGCAUGUGUGUAUAUUAGAAAUAAGAAGUCAUUUUAAUAUACUUUUGAAGCACAAACAUUUAAAACAGAGAAACUUUGUGAAAUACAAACAUUGUUGCUUGAUAUAAAAAAAAUAUUUAUUUCAUUUUAAUUAACGGAUGCUGGAGAUUCAAUUUAGAUUAUCAUUUAAUGAACCAAAUUUAACCCUUUAGCAUUGAAGCUGGCCGUAUCCAGCCAAAAUAUUCUGUUUUAUGUACAAACUUGCCAAUUCUGACCUCUAACACCUACCCUACAAUGUCAUUCUACAAAUAUACAGUCACAUCAUUGAAAUCUCAAAGCUACAAAAUAAUACAUGAUUAAUUCAAAACGAUGCAAAUAAUUAACUAGAGUUACAUUUGAAAAAGUAAUUUGCAUGUAAAGUGUUUACAUGAAACAUCGUGUUGUAUACAACUUGUGCAUAUUUUGUAUAUGAAGCAUCUGCUGGGUUUUCCAGGGAUAGGUUAUCAUUGCCCUCUCCCAAUCUUUAAAAAGGUUAGGUCAGAUAUCAUUUUCAUCUCUAUACUACAUACACACUCAUGCAGUGUUUGUGUAUUGAAGUAGUUUAUAAAUCUCUUAGUUGGUACUUAAUUUCUUAUGUGCGUCUGUUCAAACGACAGCAAACUUAAUGGAAUUUUUCAGUUCAUCGCUUUGCUGCAUGAUCUAUCGCAUAUAGUGAAAAACUCUUAGAAACUGAAUUUUCAGCCUUUUCUCAUGCAUGUAGAGUUGCCAGUGCAAAUGAAACAAAGUUGAGCUAAGGGAAUUAACUCGGAAUGGCCAUUGGCUUAUAGUGGAAAGGUAUUGAACAAGGAAACAUUAAAUAUACAAAGUAAAUUUUUAUAUUUAUUGAAAUUAUGUCCUCUUCAAGAACAGCUAGAACAAUCACUUGGUGGCAGUUGAAACCAUAUGCAAAUGCUAAAUGUAGGUAGAAUCAAAUUUUCUCUAAAACUGACCUACCAUUAAAGAAAACCAGUUUGAUUGUGAGGAGAUGAUAACUGAACAAUUUUUUUCUAACUUAGGUGUCACCAGCAUAUAUAUAUAUAUAUACACAUACAUAACUAUACAUAUACAUAAACAGAUAUGUGUAUAUAUAUAUAUAUAUAUAUAUAUAUAUAUAAAUGGGAUUAAAAGAUCCUGGCAAAUAUCAAUUAAGUGUUCAGUAUAAAAUGAUGUGGUUAAAUUUCCAACAAUCAGAUACUAGUAAAUGUAAGUAGAUUACAAAUCCCAGGUAAAUUCAACAAUUGUUUCAAUGAUAUAUAUAUAUAUGUAUGUAUGUAUAUAUAACAAUUUAAUUAGGUAUUAAAUAACCACCUAAGAUAUAUUAAGUAUCCAAAGAAUUUACUGAUUUUUCAUGAAAUAUUUAAGAAGAUAUGUCAAUCUGAUGAAAUCUCAUUAUAUUUAAACGGGAUUUUAUUAUUCUUGAAAAAUUUGGUUUUAUUAAUGAAGUGGAAACAGCUGUAAUUUAUGAGAUGCGUCGUUUGUUUGUAUAAAAUAAUAAAAUUGAAUUGAAUUUAUCAUUUAAUGAUUAAAUUAUUUAAUUGUUCAAUUUAUUGUUUUUUGUUUCCAUUAAUAAUAAUAUCCUCGAAAAUAAAUGUUAAUACAUUACCAAAGUAAUCUAAAUUGGUGAAAUUCCAACUGAACAUCUGAAAAAAUUUUAGCAGUUAAUAAACGCUAACAAAAAAAAAAACCACCUAAAUCAAAUUGAACUUAAAACAUUCUUUCAUUCAACCAUUAGCAACGUCAUUGAAUAACUAAUUUGCUUAAUGAAAAGAGAAAUAAAAAUAAAGAAAUAAACAUAUUUAUGAAAAGUCAUUCAAUUGUUGGAGAUUCACAUUGAAGUUACUAAUGAUGAAAUUCAAAUAAAAGAUAAAAAUAAAGCACAAUACUAAUUCUACAUUUUGACAAUUUGAAAUCUAUAUAGAAAAAUAACCUGAAAAUAAGUAUUUUUACAUGCAAUUAUUGAUGAUGUUGCUGGAUAAUUAGAGAAUAAAAAUUAUAGACAAGGAUUCUACAGUAUGCUUAAGAGAUAACUAAAGAAUAAAAACCACACAUACGUAUAUAUAGGUGUGCAUAUAUAUGUGUGUAUACAUACGUAUACACACACACACACACACAUAUAUGUGUGUAUGGCUGUGUGGUAAGUAGCUUGCUUACCAACCACAUGGUUCUGGUUUCAGUCCCACUGUGUGGCACCUUGGGCAAGUGUUUUCUACUAUAGCCUCGGGCUGACCGAAGCCUUGUGAAUGGAUUUGGUAGACAGAAACUGAAAGAAGCCUGUCAUGUAUAUGUUUGUGUGUCUGUGUUUAUCCCCCCCCCCCUCACCAUAGCUUGACAACUGAUGUUGAUAUGUUUACGUCCCCAUAACUUAGCAGUUCGGCAAAAGAGACUGAUAGAAUAAUAAGUCCUGGGGGUCGAUUUCUUGGACUAAAAGGCAGUGCUCCAGCAUGGCUGCUGUCAAAUGACUGAAACAAAUAAAAGAAUUACACAAACACACACACACACAUAUAUUUAUUUAUAUAUAUGUUUAUGAGGAUUAAUUGCUGGUUUAAAGAACCAGGAGAAGAAAAUAAAAUAUUGGUAAGAAUGUAGCAAAAGAAAAUCUUCAGACAAUGUUUUGGAGGAAGCUAUUAUAAUAAUAAUUAUAAUAUUUUCUUGUAUUGGCCCCGAGGGCCUAUGCUACUGGGUAUAAUACAAGGAAAUUUUCUUUUUAAAAAAAAUUAAAGUGGGGUUUACAUUGAGUAAAAGGGUGUCAGUAUAGUAACAGAGUUAAUUUUCGGAACCAUCUAAGCUACUUAAUGAGUUGUAGAGAAGAUAAAUUCUUGUGUCAAUCUGUUAUUUCCUUAAUUUAUUAGUUAUCUCCAUAUAAUAAUAAAUGUUAUAGAUUUCAGUUGAUUGAUUUCUCCAGUCACACUUUACAUUGUAUAGAAAGGGGGAGAGGGCGUAAAAGAGAGAAUUAACAUGGAGGGUGCAGGUUGAGUGCACAUACUAGGCUUUGUGGAAGGAGGAGGAAGAGUAGGGGUAAAGGACAGUUAUGGAUGGAGUUAUGAAAAUGAGAAAUUUGUUUUACUUAAUUUCAUUUUAAGCUCAUAAAUAUUUUCUUUUAGAAAUUAAUACUCAUUCCUUCAUAAAAACCAAAAUUGUUGAUAAAAUAAUUGUUUGUAUGGCAUAUUUCUUGAUAUUACCCAUGGUGGCAAAAGUUUAAAAGUAUACUUCCAAAAUUACCCUUAAUGGUUUAAUUUCCUCUUUGAAAUUAUUAAGUUUCUAUUUUAAGUACCUCAUCUAUAAUUUUUAUAUAUAUAUCUGUAAGAUAAUAUGUGACAAUUAUUCAAUAGCCAAGAUAAAACUCUGAGUUUCGGAUGCCAAAGUGGAAAUCCACCACAACAUCUCUUCGGUUAUCUGGCCAGAGUUUUAUCUUGGCUAUUGAAUAAUUGUCACAUAUUAUUUUACAGAUAAAUUUCCUCUAUUUACAUAAUAUUGAGGUCUCUUUCUUUCUUUUGUUAUCUUACCGUUUUUACCAAUAUAUAUAUAUAUAUAUAUAUAGGUGAGCUCUGAAGAAAUAGUUCUUUUUGAUCAAGGACUAUGAACCACCAUGAUCAUCCAAUAUUUAUUUCAGACAAUAUAUUUAGGACCGUGUCAUCCAAUUUUCUUUUUAAAGAGACUGUGAGGUAAUAUAUACAAAAGAGAUUUGUUUGCGAAUUUAUGCAGGUCGUGCGACCACAUUGGGGCUUCCUUGCUGGUUUGUUAUAUUGCUUGUUUUUAAUGUCGGUCUAAUCAAAGAAAUGCGAAGUAUGUACAUAAUCACAGAUCAUUGAUCAUAACAAAACGGAUGGAAGACAAACACACACAUACAAACACACAUGUUCAGGUGGAUCUUAUAAAUACAUAACAAUUGUGGUGUGCUAAUUCAGAUUGAGUUUUAUUGUACUAUAGACAAGGCAUUCUAGACAAGGUGUCUUGCUCUCGUUGUGAAAUUGUUAUCCGAAAAUCUGCGUUCUUCGAGAAAGAUUAUUAUUUCAAAAACAAGUAAGUGUGCGGCUUGUUCAGUGAAUUUGACAGCUUACAUCAAGCAAAAGAAUGCAUAUAUAUGCUGAGUCAGUGGUUUUGUGCAUUUUUCUCCUUUAUCAUACAGCCUAGUCAAAAGAGGAAGGAAAAAACACCCAUGAUCCCAUAACCUUUUGCGUGGUCUCUGAGAUUACUGAAAGGUUGGAGCAGGGGUGAAUAAAUGAAGGGUGGAAUAAAUGGCAACUCUUGAAUUGCUACUGUGGAAAUCAGCACUUCAAUCAAUAUAUUGAGUUAUCUUCAGACCAGAGACUCUGCUAAAGGUGAGCUGGGCCAAGUCAUGGUGUUCAACAGAGUGAUAUAUUAGGACUGCCACGCAAAAUCUAUGUAAUUUUUAUGUAUAAUUGUAUUAGUAUUUUUGCUAUUUUAAUAAUUUAUAGACAUGGUUGUGCCUGGCCUGACGGUUCUUAAAGUUGCACACAUACACACACACACACAUAUAUUUAUGUCUGUGUAUAUAUAUAUUUAUAUAUAUACAUACAUACAUACACACACACAUGUAUAUGCCAUAUACUCCUAUGAUAUGUUUGUAUAAAAUGUAUUUCUAAAUAAAACAAAUUAUUAUAUUGGAGAUUA
This 4691-nucleotide long non-coding RNA is filed under the name Octopus vulgaris (common octopus). The record is from RNAcentral. Lineage: Eukaryota; Metazoa; Mollusca; Cephalopoda; Octopoda; Octopodidae.